RNAcentral lists this ribosomal RNA (245 nucleotides) under Petriella setifera. RNAcentral describes it as "partial large subunit ribosomal RNA". It matches the Rfam family "Eukaryotic large subunit ribosomal RNA", at positions 264 to 513 of the family's 3401-position model. The record is from RNAcentral. Lineage: Eukaryota; Fungi; Ascomycota; Sordariomycetes; Microascales; Microascaceae.
GUCGAGUAGUUUGGGAAUGCUGCUCAAAAUGGGAGGUAAACCCCUUCUAAAGCUAAAUACUGGCCAGAGACCGAUAGCGCACAAGUAGAGUGAUCGAAAGAUGAAAAGCACUUUGAAAAGAGAGUUAAACAGCACGUGAAAUUGUUGAAAGGGAAGCGCUUGCGACCAGACUUGUGCUCGUCGAAUCAGCCGUCGCUCGUCGGCGGCGCAUUUCGGGCGGGCUCAGGCCAGCAUCAGUUCGCUGU